CACACUGAAGAAUAUGUAAGAGCUUUCAGAAGUGAACUUCAAAGAGCCCUCUUAACUUCAUCGAGUAGAAGGGCAAUGUAUUUUCCAGUUCCAAAUUUCUGGAGUAAUUAGUUUUCAAAGAGCAGCUAGUAGACGGAUCCUUCUGCUGAGGAAUUGAGAAAACUAAUGAUGUUGCAUGGAGGUCAAUACCAUGUAUAUUAUUCCAGAUCUAAAACAACACAUAUUAUUGCCACAAAUCUUCCCAAUGCCAAAAUUAAAGAAUUAAAGGGGGAAAAAGUAAUUCGACCAGAAUGGAUUGUGGAAAGCAUCAAAGCUGGACGACUUCUCUCCUACAUUCCAUAUCAGCUGUACACCAAGCAGUCCAGUGUGCAGAAAGGUCUCAGCUUUAAUCCUAUAUGCAGACCUGAGGAUCCUCUGCCAGGUCCAAGCAAUAUAGCCAAACAGCUCAACAACAGGGUAAAUCACAUCGUUAAGAAGAUUGAAACAGAAAAUGAAGUCAAAGUCAAUGGCAUGAACAGUUGGAAUGAAGAAGAUGAAAAUAAUGAUUUUAGUUUUGUGGAUCUGGAGCAGACCUCUCCGGGAAGGAAACAGAAUGGAAUUCCGCAUCCCAGAGGCAGCACUGCCAUUUUUAAUGGACACACUCCUAGCUCUAAUGGUGCCUUAAAGACACAGGAUUGCUUGGUGCCCAUGGUCAACAGUGUUGCCAGCAGGCUUUCUCCAGCCUCUUCCCAGGAGGAGGAUAAGGCUGAGAAGAGCAGCACUGAUUUCAGAGACUGCACUCUGCAGCAGUUGCAGCAAAGCACCAGAAACACAGAUGCUUUGCGGAAUCCACACAGAACUAAUUCUUUCUCAUUAUCACCUUUGCACAGUAACACUAAAAUCAAUGGUGCUCACCACUCCACUGUUCAGGGGCCUUCAAGCACAAAAAGCACUUCUUCAGUAUCUACUUUUAGCAAGGCAGCACCUUCAGUGCCAUCCAAACCUUCAGACUGCAAUUUUAUUUCAAACUUCUAUUCUCAUUCAAGACUGCAUCACAUAUCAAUGUGGAAGUGUGAAUUGACUGAGUUUGUCAAUACCCUACAGAGACAAAGUAAUGGUAUCUUUCCAGGAAGGGAAAAGUUAAAAAAAAUGAAAACAGGCAGGUCUGCACUUGUUGUAACUGACACAGGAGAUAUGUCAUUAUUGAAUUCUCCCAGACAUCAGAGCUGUAUAAUGCAUGUUGAUAUGGAUUGCUUCUUUGUAUCAGUGGGUAUACGAAAUAGACCAGAUCUCAAAGGAAAACCAGUGGCUGUUACAAGUAACAGAGGCACAGGAAGGGCACCUUUACGUCCUGGUGCUAAUCCCCAGCUGGAGUGGCAGUAUUACCAGAAUAAAAUCCUGAAAGGCAAAGCAGCAGAUAUACCAGAUUCGUCAUUGUGGGAGAAUCCAGAUUCUGCACAAGCAGAUGGAAGUGAUUCUGUUCUGUCAAGGGCUGAAAUUGCAUCUUGUAGUUAUGAGGCCAGGCAACUUGGCAUUAAGAACGGAAUGUUUUUUGGGCAUGCUAAACAACUAUGUCCUAAUCUUCAAGCUGUUCCAUACGAUUUUCAUGCAUAUAAGGAAGUCGCACGAACAUUGUAUGAAACAUUGGCAAGCUACACUCAUAACAUUGAAGCUGUCAGUUGUGAUGAAGCGCUGGUAGACAUUACCGAAAUCCUUGCAGAGACCAAACUUACUCCUGAUGAAUUUGCAAAUGCUGUUCGUAUGGAAAUCAAAGACCAGACGAAAUGUACUGCCUCUGUUGGAAUUGGUUCUAAUAUUCUCCUGGCUAGAAUGGCAACUAGAAAAGCAAAACCAGAUGGGCAGUACCACCUAAAACCAGAAGAAGUAGAUGAUUUUAUCAGAGGUCAGCUAGUUACUAAUCUACCAGGAGUUGGACAUUCAAUGGAAUCUAAGUUGGCAUCUUUAGGAAUUAAAACUUGUGGAGACUUGCAGUAUAUGACCAUGGCAAAACUCCAAAAAGAAUUUGGUCCCAAAACAGGUCAGAUGCUUUAUAGGUUCUGCCGUGGCUUGGAUGAUAGACCAGUUCGAACUGAAAAGGAAAGAAAAUCUGUUUCAGCUGAGAUCAACUAUGGAAUAAGGUUUACCCAGCCAAAAGAGGCAGAAGCUUUUCUUCUGAGUCUUUCAGAAGAAAUUCAAAGAAGACUAGAAGCCACUGGCAUGAAGGGUAAACGUCUGACUCUCAAAAUCAUGGUACGAAAGCCCGGGGCUCCUGUAGAAACUGCAAAAUUCGGAGGCCAUGGAAUUUGUGAUAACAUUGCCAGGACUGUAACUCUUGACCAGGCAACAGAUAAUGCAAAAAUAAUUGGAAAGGCGAUGCUAAACAUGUUUCAUACAAUGAAACUAAAUAUAUCAGAUAUGAGAGGGGUUGGGAUUCACGUGAAUCAGUUGGUUCCAACUAAUCUGAACCCUUCCACAUGUCCCAGUCGCCCAUCAGUUCAGUCAAGCCACUUUCCUGGUGGGUCGUACUCUGUCCGUGAUGUCUUCCAAGUUCAGAAAGCUAAGAAAUCCACAGAAGAGGAGCACAAAGAAGUAUUUCGGGCCGCUGUGGAUCUGGAAAUAUCAUCUGUUUCUAGAACUUGCACUUUCUUGCCACCUUUUCCUGCACAUCUGCCAACCAGUCCUGAUACUAACAAGGCUGAGUCUUCAGGGAAAUGGAAUGGUCUACAUUCUCCUGUCAGUGUGCAGUCAAGACUUAACCUGAGUAUAGAGGUCCCGUCACCUUCCCAGCUGGAUCAGUCUGUUUUAGAAGCACUUCCACCUGAUCUCCGGGAACAAGUAGAGCAAGUCUGUGCUGUCCAGCAAGCAGAGUCACAUGGCGACAAAAAGAAAGAACCAGUAAAUGGCUGUAAUACAGGAAUUUUGCCACAACCAGUUGGGACAGUCUUGUUGCAAAUACCAGAACCUCAAGAAUCGAACAGUGACACAGGAAUAAAUGUAAUAGCCCUUCCAGCAUUUUCACAGGUGGACCCUGAGGUAUUUGCUGCCCUUCCUGCUGAACUUCAAAGGGAGCUGAAAGCAGCGUAUGAUCAAAGACAAAGGCAGGACGAGAACAGCACUCACCAGCAGUCAGCCAGUGCAUCUGUGCCAAAGAAUCCUUUACUUCAUCUAAAGGCAGCGGUGAAAGAAAAGAAAA
Molecule: small RNA, 3172 nt
Filed under: Pongo abelii (Sumatran orangutan)
Lineage: Eukaryota; Metazoa; Chordata; Mammalia; Primates; Hominidae
Description: processed transcript
Source: RNAcentral